Molecule: ribosomal RNA, 492 nt
Filed under: uncultured bacterium
Lineage: Bacteria
Description: partial 16S ribosomal RNA
Rfam family: Bacterial small subunit ribosomal RNA
Source: RNAcentral
GAUGAACGCUGGCGGUGUGCCUAACACAUGCAAGUCGAACGGAAGCACAAGAAGCUUUCUCUCUUGCGGUUAGCGACGGACGGGCGAGUAAGACGUGCAUCACCUUCUACUUUUUCUGGGAUAAUAACGGGGAACCGGUUCCAAUACUGCCUCAUACGUCCUACGGCAUGGUGCAGGGGAGCUUGAGGCCUUUCGCGUUUGUAUUAGCCGAUGCCGCAUUAGCUAGUUGGCGGGGUAAAGGCCCACCAAGGCGACGAUGCGUAGCUGGUCUGAGAGGAUGAUCGGCCACACUGGAACUGAGACACGGUCCAGACUCCUACGGGAGGCAGCAGUGGGGAAUAUUCGGCAAUGGGCGCAAGCCUGAUCCAGCCAUACCGCGUGGGUGAAGAAGGCCUUCGGGUUGUAAAGCCCUUUUAUUGGGAAAGAACAUCUGUAGGUUUAGACCUGGCCGUCCUGACGGUACCUAAAGAAAAAGCACCGGCUAACUACGUG